Molecule: transfer RNA, 66 nt
Filed under: Melanotaenia praecox (dwarf rainbowfish)
Lineage: Eukaryota; Metazoa; Chordata; Actinopteri; Atheriniformes; Melanotaeniidae
Description: tRNA-Cys
Source: RNAcentral
AGUUCCGAGGUGUUUCACACAUAAGGUUGCAAACCUUGAGUAGCAGGCUUACACCUGCCGGGACUU